GUGCAUCGAACUGCUGACUCCCCAUCCGCUUCAGUCUUUCCCCAAGGUAAGCUUCUUCCUUGCGGGUGCGUAUGGUAUCCUGUGUUGCUUACCCGUGAAAGGGAAAUCGAUGGCUUCGUUGCGUUGAUCCGUCUUGUGCCCUUUGGGUUGCGGGGCGGACGUGAGGCAGGCUCUGUGUUCCUGGCAUGCCUAGCAAGUUGUUGCUUGGCUGCUGUGGCCCAUGGGGUCUUUGCUUGUUUUCUCGGAUGCGGAAUGCUACGCAUGGGCGUGAGGUCUCGGCCUCGAUUCGUCCAAGCAUUGUCCCUUUACUCGAAUGACUGUUGCAUCCGUUUUGAUCUUCCCGACCAAGGCCUCGUAAUGGGGCUUACUGGAUGAGGGUUGGUCAUGCGGGUGAUGACGUCAAAGAGGAAUGC
RNAcentral lists this unclassified non-coding RNA (413 nucleotides) under Diplolaena graniticola. RNAcentral's name for it is "partial external transcribed spacer". The record is from RNAcentral. Lineage: Eukaryota; Viridiplantae; Streptophyta; Magnoliopsida; Sapindales; Rutaceae.